This 107-nucleotide small RNA is filed under the name Marmota monax (woodchuck). The record is from RNAcentral. Lineage: Eukaryota; Metazoa; Chordata; Mammalia; Rodentia; Sciuridae.
GCCAGGUGUGGUGGUGCACAUCUGUAAUCCCAAUGUCUCUGGAGGCUGAGGCAGGAGGAUAGCAAGUUUAAGGUGAGCCUCAGUAACUUAGUGAGAUCCUGUCUCAA